AGAGUUUGAUCCUGGCUCAGGAUGAACCGCGGGCGGCGUGCCUUAUACAUGCGAGUCGAACGCUUUGUCUUUAAUUGAUCUGAAGAGCUUGCUCUGAUUUGAUUUUAUCUGACAAAGAGUGGCGCACGGGUGAGUAAUCACCGUGGGUAACCUACCUCUUAGCAGGGGAUUACAUUUUGGAAACAAGUGCUAAUACCGUAUAAUACCAACAACCGCAUGGUUGUUGGUUGAUAAGAUGGUUCUGCUAUCAUCUAAGAGAUGGAUCCCGCGGUGCAUUAGCUAGUUGGUAAGGUAACGGCUUACCAAGGCAAUGAUGCAUAGCCGAGUUGAGAGACUGAUCGGCCACAAUGGGACUGAGACACGGCCCAUACUCCUACGGGAGGCAGCAGUAGGGAAUCUUCCACAAUGGGCGCAAGCCUGAUGGAGCAACGCCGCGUGUGUGAUGAAGGGUUUCGGCUCGUAAAACACUGUUAUAAGAGAAGAACGGCACUGAGAGUAACUGUUCAGUGUGUGACGGUAUCUUACCAGAAAGGAACGGCUAAAUACGUGCCAGCAGCCGCGGUAAUACGUAUGUUCCAAGCGUUAUCCGGAUUUAUUGGGCGUAAAGCGAGCGCAGACGGUUAUUUAAGUCUGAAGUGAAAGCCCUCAGCUCAACUGAGGAAUGGCUUUGGAAACUGGAUGACUUGAGUGCAGUAGAGGAAAGUGGAACUCCAUGUGUAGCGGUGAAAUGCGUAGAUAUAUGGAAGAACACCAGUGGCGAAGGCGGCUUUCUGGACUGUAACUGACGUUGAGGCUCGAAAGUGUGGGUAGCAAACAGGAUUAGAUACCCUGGUAGUCCACACCGUAAACGAUGAGUGCUAGAUGUUCGAGGGUUUCCGC
This 879-nucleotide ribosomal RNA is filed under the name uncultured bacterium. RNAcentral describes it as "bacterial SSU rRNA". It matches the Rfam family "Bacterial small subunit ribosomal RNA", at positions 8 to 837 of the family's 1533-position model. The record is from RNAcentral.